GCUUCAGGAUGAGUCUGCGGCCGAUUAGGUAGUUGUUGGGGUAAAAGCCCAACAAGCCCGUAAUCGGUACGGGUUGUGGGAGCAAGAGCCCGGAGAUGGAUUCUGAGACACGAAUCCAGGCCCUACGGGGCGCAGCAGGCGCGAAAACUUUACAAUGCGGGCAACCGUGAUAAGGAAACCCCGAGUGCCAGCACAGGCUGGCUGUCCGCCAGUUUAAAUAACUGGUGAAGAAAGGGCCGGGCAAGACCGGUGCCAGCCGCCGCGGUAAUACCGGCGGCUCGAGUGGUGGCCGCUUUUACUGGGCUUAAAGGGUCCGUAGCUUGAUUCAUGGGUCCCUUGAGAAAUCUAUCGGCUUAACUGAUAGGCGUUCAGGGGAAACUGUGAUUCUAGGGACCGGGAGAGGUGAGAGGUACUGCCGGGGUAGGAGUGAAAUCCUGUAAUCCCGGUGGGACGACCUAUGGCGAAGGCAUCUCACCAGAACGGCUCCGACAGUGAGGGACGAAAGCUGGGGGAGCAAACCGGAUUAGAUACCCGGGUAGUCCUGGCCGUAAACGAUGUGGACUUGGUGUUGGAAUGGCUUCGAGCUGCUCCAGUGCCGAAGGGAAGCUGUUAAGUCCACCGCCUGGGAAGUACGGUCGCAAGACUGAAACUUAAAGGAAUUGGCGGGGGGAGCACCACA
Molecule: ribosomal RNA, 679 nt
Filed under: uncultured archaeon
Lineage: Archaea
Description: bacterial SSU rRNA
Rfam family: Archaeal small subunit ribosomal RNA
Source: RNAcentral